GACGAACGCUGGCGGCGUGCUUAACACAUGCAAGUCGAGCGGUAAGGCCCUUUCGGGGGUACACGAGCGGCGAACGGGUGAGUAACACGUGGGUGACCUGCCCUCAGCUCUGGGAUAAGCCUGGGAAACCGGGUCUAAUACCGGAUAUGACUCCAUGACGCAUGUUGUGGGGUGGAAAGCCCUGUGCGGCUGAGGAUGGGCCCGCGGCCUAUCAGCUUGUUGGUGGGGUGAUGGCCUACCAAGGCGACGACGGGUAGCCGGCCUGAGAGGGCGACCGGCCACACUGGGACUGAGACACGGCCCAGACCCCUACGGGAGGCAGCAGUGGGGAAGUCUUGCGCAAUGGGCGGAAAGCCUGACGCAGCGACGCCGCGUGAGGGAUGACGGCC
RNAcentral lists this ribosomal RNA (389 nucleotides) under uncultured bacterium. RNAcentral's name for it is "bacterial SSU rRNA". It matches the Rfam family "Bacterial small subunit ribosomal RNA", at positions 28 to 416 of the family's 1533-position model. The record is from RNAcentral.